Molecule: ribosomal RNA, 200 nt
Filed under: uncultured Glomus
Lineage: Eukaryota; Fungi; Glomeromycota; Glomeromycetes; Glomerales; Glomeraceae
Description: partial small subunit ribosomal RNA
Rfam family: Eukaryotic small subunit ribosomal RNA
Source: RNAcentral
CCAAUAGCGUAUAUUAAGGUUGCUGCGGUUAAAAAGCUCGUAGUUGAAUUUCGGAAUUGAUGCAUCGGUCGUGCCUUAAGGGGCAUGAACUGGUGUAGCCAAUUUCUCACCUUCUGGUGAAUUGUGAUGUUCUUAAUGGGUGUCUCAAUGAACUAGAAUUUUUUACUUUGAAAAAAUUAGAGUGUUUAAAGCAGGCAUUU